UUGCCCGUUGUAUGGUGGUGGUAGUGGAAACACCCACACGGUGACUGAUGGCACCGAGGACACCUAAACAACGGGCUUUU
This 80-nucleotide non-coding RNA is filed under the name unclassified sequences. The record is from RNAcentral.